UUCAGUGUUUAUAAUUCAGACCUUUGAAGUGAGACCAGAGUUUCAUCAGACAGGCAUGGGCGUCAAGAUGGAAUCACAGACCCAGGUCCUCAUGUUCCUGCUGCUCUGGGUGUCUGGUGCCUGUUCAGAUACCGUGAUGACUCAGUCUCCAUCCUUCCUCUCUGAGUCAGUCGGGGCGAAGGUUACUAUCAGCUGCAAGUCCAGUCAGAAUCUUUUAUACAGUAAAAACCAGAAGAACUACCUAGCAUGGUACCAGCAGAAACCAAGACAAGCACCUAAACUGCUGAUCUACUGGGCAUCCACUCGGCACACUGGGGUCCCUGAUCGCUUCACAGGCAGUGGGUCUGGGACAGAUUUCACUCUCACAAUCAGCAAUAUUCAGGCUGAAGACAUGGGAGAUUAUUACUGUUUCCAGCAUUAUUACAUUCCUCCCACAGUGAUUCAACCUCCAUCAAAAACUUCCUCUGUGAGGCUCACCAUCUGCCUGCAACAGCCCUGACCUGCACACUUCUCC
Molecule: non-coding RNA, 514 nt
Organism: Mesocricetus auratus (golden hamster)
Lineage: Eukaryota; Metazoa; Chordata; Mammalia; Rodentia; Cricetidae
Source: the annotation of a RefSeq genome assembly